UCUGCCGCCUGUUUUGGCCACACUUGCGUGGUGGGCAGCUGUCCUCCGCUUCCCAUCCACCUUAAUGUCUGACCACUUCUUUUUUAGUUCAGCAUGUGUGCGCUCUUCUGACCCCAAAGCAUUGACAGCCGCACACACGCUGUCCCAUUCACUUCUCUUUCACUUGUUCUUAACACUGGAUGACAGCAUGCCAAAGAGGAUUUUCUUAGAUUGGGAAAAUAAAACAGGCGGAGGAACCGGCGUGGAGGGAUUCACCCCAUUCAAGGAGAGAAUCGCUGCAAUCAUGAAUGACACUGCUCUCUUAGUGGUGGUGGUAGCACAUGUGACUGACUCUGAUUACCCCCAAGUACACACAGUCGCAGGCUGUUCGGGGGAUUCAUCCACCGUCCCUGGUGUUUCUGGUGUCACAGACGUGGAGGAUUCCUCCACCGUCCCCGGUGUCCCUGGUGUCACAGACGUGGUGUCACGUACGUGGUUAGGGCGAAGGCGAGGAACGCAAGGCAAGAACAUGGUGGACCCAAUUGCAGGGAAGCAGGGAGGCAAAGCAGGAGUGCGAGAAUCUCAAAAUAAUAAUAUUUAAUCACAAUGAUAAAAACAACUGGCGACUAUGACAUGGCUAGACAUGUGACAACGACAAUGAACCGACAAGAACUGAAAGAAACCAGGGAACUAAAUACAAACAAAUUGCCGACACAACGAGGAACACCUGGACAAGACGAGUGGCUGGAGAGAGCUGAUUGGUCGACACAAAGUAGACGAGAACAGGUGGACACAACAACCUAAUGAGCACACGACAAACAUGGAACACAGGAAAACAUGGAACAAAACUAAACACAACCCAAACCAAAACACAGACCAUGACACGUGGAGGAUUCGUCAACCGUUCCUGGCGUCUCCGAUGCAAUUACGCUCCAACAACCGGCUGCUGCUGGCCGCCCGACUGGCCGUGUCCUCACCCGUGCACACUGAUAAAAACAGUCCUUUGAAUUUACUUAAUUUGAACGUACAUCGGUUGCACCUGAUUAAAAUGUGUUAAAAUGACAUAAUUUACCCCUCUUCUCCUAUUUUCUUUAUUUUAACACAUUUUAAUCACGUGCAAACAAUGCAAUCUUUUUUUCAGUGCAUGUGCUGGAGUCACAAGAAGGGAUUGUGAGGGCAAUAGGAAGCAUAAA
Long non-coding RNA from Phyllopteryx taeniolatus (common seadragon), 1172 nucleotides. RefSeq lists it as uncharacterized. The transcript is spliced from 3 exons. Lineage: Eukaryota; Metazoa; Chordata; Actinopteri; Syngnathiformes; Syngnathidae. The record is from RefSeq and is a predicted model, not a curated record.